GCUAAAGUAGAAGAAGAAAUUAGGACAGAUAUAAAUAAUGGAUCAGGUGUAUAUGUAAAGCAUCCUGAUAAUUAUUUAAAUGGGGAGUGUGUUUCUGAAUCACCCCAUGAGAAAGAGUUAUCUGAAGUGGAAAAGGAGGCAUGGAAUUUACUUAGGGGAGCAGUUGUUAACUAUUGUGGCUUCCCCGUUGGGACUGGGGCAGCUAAUGAUCCAGCUGAUAAGCAGCCGCUUAACUACGAUCAAGUGUUUAUACGCGAUUUUGUCCCAUCAGCUCUUGCUUUUUUGCUGAAUGGAGAGGGGGAGAUUGUCAAGAAUUUUCUGCUCCACACUCUGCAACUGCAG
This 342-nucleotide unclassified non-coding RNA is filed under the name Hevea brasiliensis (rubber tree). Lineage: Eukaryota; Viridiplantae; Streptophyta; Magnoliopsida; Malpighiales; Euphorbiaceae. The record is from RNAcentral.